Molecule: ribosomal RNA, 497 nt
Filed under: uncultured bacterium
Lineage: Bacteria
Description: partial 16S ribosomal RNA
Rfam family: Bacterial small subunit ribosomal RNA
Source: RNAcentral
GAUGAACGCUGGCGGCGUGCCUAAUACAUGCAAGUCGAGCGAACAGACGAGGAGCUUGCUCCUCUGACGUUAGCGGCGGACGGGUGAGUAACACGUGGAUAACCUACCUAUAAGACUGGGAUAACUUCGGGAAACCGGAGCUAAUACCGGAUAACAUGUUGAACCGCAUGGUUUAACAGUGAAAGACGGUCUUGCUGUCACUUAUAGAUGGAUCCGCGCCGCUUUAGCUAGUUGGUAAGGUAACGGCUUACCAAGGGAACGAUGCGUAGCCGACCUGAGAGGGGGAUAGGCCACCCUGGAAGUGAGACGCGCUCCAGGCGCCUACGGGACGGAGCAGUCGGCAAUCGUCCGCAAUGGGCGAGAGCAUGACGGAGCAGCGGGGCGUGAGUGGAGACGGUGUUCGGAUCGGGAAACUCUGUUAUGAGGGAAAAACAAAUUUGUCAGUAACUGUGCACGUCUUGACGGUACCUAAUCAGAAAGCAACGGCUAACUACGUG